CGGGGUGAGUAACGCGUGGAUAACCUGCCUCACACUGGGGGAUAACAGUUAGAAAUGGCUGCUAAUACCGCAUAAGCGCACAGUACCGCAUGGUACGGUGUGAAAAACCCAGGUGGUGUGAGAUGGAUCCGCGUCUGAUUAGCCAGUUGGCGGGGCAACGGCCCACCAAAGCGACGAUCAGUAGCCGACCUGAGAGGGUGACCGGCCACAUUGGGACUGAGACACGGCCCAA
This 232-nucleotide ribosomal RNA is filed under the name uncultured bacterium. Its description in RNAcentral is "partial 16S ribosomal RNA". It matches the Rfam family "Bacterial small subunit ribosomal RNA", at positions 104 to 334 of the family's 1533-position model. The record is from RNAcentral.